CCUACGGUGUGCUGCAGUGGGGAAUAUUGGGCAAUGGGCGCAAGCCUGACCCAGCAACGCCGCGUGAAGGAAGAAGGCUUUCGGGUUGUAAACUUCUUUUGUCAGGGAAGAGUAGAAGACGGUACCUGACGAAUAAGCCACGGCUAACUACGUUCCAGCAGCCGCGGUAAUACGUAGGUGGCAAGCGUUGUCCGGAUUUACUGGGUGUAAAGGGCGUGUAGCCGGGUUGACAAGUCAGAUGUGAAAUCCUGCGGCUUAACCGCAGAACUGCAGUUGAAACUGUUGAUCUGGAGUACUGGAGGGGCAGACGGAAUUCCGAGUGUAGCGGUGAAAUGCGUAGAUAUUAGGAGGAACACCAGUGGCGAAGGCGGUCUGCUGGACAGCGACUGACGGUGAGGCGCGAAAGCGGGGGGAGCAAACAGGAUUAGAUACCCGGGUAGUC
RNAcentral lists this ribosomal RNA (442 nucleotides) under uncultured bacterium. RNAcentral describes it as "partial 16S ribosomal RNA". It matches the Rfam family "Bacterial small subunit ribosomal RNA", at positions 338 to 795 of the family's 1533-position model. The record is from RNAcentral.